GCCGGUUUCUCUAUGUCUGAUUAACAUAACCCUCAACCCGUGGUUGGUUAACCACCUGGUAGUUUGAAUUGACAGUUUCAUUUUCACCAAGUUCUAAUUAGCUGACUUCGGACUAUUUUGAUUAUUGUGAAUAUUUUACGAAAAAGGUCACACAAAUUGCUUUGUGAAUACAUAAAAACUGCAUGACAGCUGACAUUUGUUUACAUUUAUUUGAUAAUUUUCAUCCCGCGCAUUUCCAAGUUUUACGCUGCUUAUUUAAUAAUUUUCAUUUGUGUAUAGAAUAAUGGAAAACAAACAAAGAAGGCUUCCAAAUUUCACUAGCACUGAGGAAAAUAUGUUAAUUACGUUGGCGGAGCGGCACGCAAAUCUUAUUGAAAAUAAAAAAACGGAUGCAGUGACCUGGGAGAAAAAGCGGAAGGCCUGGGAAACUAUCGACGUCGAAUUUGAGGCUCAAGUUGGAAUCAGGAGAGGUGCAAAAAAUUUACGCGAAAAAUAUGAGAACUUAAAGAGGAGGGCCAGAAAAUGCUUGGCGGAAGAAAAAAUGGAACUUUAUAAAACAGGAGGUGGAGUAUAUAAGCAGCGGCGGGACAUCAACACAGAAAGCCUUUCAAGAAAUCGAAUAUGUGGACGAUAUUAAUGGGGAUCUGCGCUCCGCUACCGAAACAAUCAAGGAAAGCCCGAUCAAAGACCAAAACAUUGAUAUACGCCUCAACCCCUCGCUUGGAAAAGCACGGUUUCUACAACAACAAUCUUUGGACGACUCUAUGCCAAGUCAAACAGCGAAUGAUGUGGAGAUUAUUGAGGGCGCAGAGAUUGAAAAUACACUUGAUUGGAGCUCAUGGAAUCCAACUAGUUUGCGGACGAAAAAAGCUAAUAAGCUGGAGGUCAAAUCAGAGCAGAAAAAAAAUAAG
This is a long non-coding RNA of Rhagoletis zephyria (snowberry fruit fly), 911 nucleotides long. RefSeq lists it as uncharacterized. Lineage: Eukaryota; Metazoa; Arthropoda; Insecta; Diptera; Tephritidae. The record is from RefSeq and is a predicted model, not a curated record.